RNAcentral lists this ribosomal RNA (467 nucleotides) under uncultured bacterium. RNAcentral describes it as "SSU rRNA". It matches the Rfam family "Bacterial small subunit ribosomal RNA", at positions 26 to 518 of the family's 1533-position model. The record is from RNAcentral.
AGGAUGAACGCUGGCGGCGUGCCUAACACAUGCAAGUCGAACGUCCUGUCUCGCAAGAGGCAGGGAGUGGCGGACGGGUGAGUACCACGUGGGUUAUCUACCGUGAGGUGAGGAAUACCGGCGAGAAAUCGCCGACAAGACCGCAUAGGCUCGAUGCAAGUCGAGCAAAGCUCGCUCGCAAGAGGGAGCGCCACACGAGGAGCCUGCGCCCGAUUAGCUAGCUGGUGGAGUAACGGUUCACCAGGGCGACGAUCGGUAGCUGGUCUGAGAGGACGAUCAGCCACACUGGGAUUGAGAACGGCCCAGACUCCUACGGGGGGCAGCAGUGAGGAAUUUCGUCAAUGGGGCAACCCUGAACGAGCAACGCCGCGUGCAGGAAGAAGGUUUCGGAUCGUAAACUGCUUUUCUCGGGAAGAGAACGGACGGUACCCGAGGAGAAGCCCGGCUAACUACGUGCCAGCAGCCGC